AGCACAACAAUAAUAACAAUUUAGUUAAAAAAACUUGUAAAGGUUUUGCUGCAUUAUAAAAAUUGAAUUUACUCGGAUGAAUGUGAAAUAGUGGUAGAAAUAAAUAUUAUGUUGGAAACGGGAGUCAAUAAGUGAUAACCGAAAACAGGUUACUGCAAUAAUCGAUUGCAACAAAUGUUCAAUAUUCGUCACCGUUAGGGCGAAUUGAAUGGCAGUGAGUCAGUUUUGCAUGACACGAUCAGCUGUCACUCUGCUUAAAUGAAAUCAGCGCUGAAAUAAAGAUAAUCAAAGUUGCUGUGUACUGCCAGAAGCCACAGCGUCUACCAAAAUACAACAAAUAUGCAACAACAGCCAUAAAAGUUUCUAUGAAAUAUACAAACCACAAAUCAUAGUGCGAAAUCCAACACAUUAUAUACACACACAUAUGUAUUUAUUCAUGUAUAAGUAACUAGAAAAAGAAAAAAGGAAUUGUUUCCAUGUG
Molecule: long non-coding RNA, 481 nt
Organism: Bactrocera latifrons
Lineage: Eukaryota; Metazoa; Arthropoda; Insecta; Diptera; Tephritidae
Exons: 5
Source: RefSeq, a predicted model, not a curated record